GGCUAGACAAGGUCAUCAUAGAGCUCCAGUCCCCGGUUAACUCCAUCAAUAGGCAGCUCUCUAACCAGAACACCGUUAUACAAGGUCUUAAUCGUGAUCUCGAUAGUGCUAAUAAGAAGAUUAGAGAGUUAGAGUGCCGCUAAGUUAUCUAGAUUAGAUCUUAAGGUAGUGUAUCUUAGUUAUUCAUCAUUAGUUUCAAUUAGAUUCGGCUUAGAUUCAGUCCAUUAUUAGUCAGUUGUAAUAAAUGCCUCGAGAUUAAUAAAGAUUAUUAUUAUGUCUUGUGUGUCUCUACUUUAUUUUUAUGUAAGUAAGCAGAAAACAAGUAUGGGGGAGAUCCUCCGACAUGCCUAACACACUCCGACUACACCACUCCACGAUUCAGGUACGUACUCUGCAUGCUUUACACAUACAUAUACACAUAUCUUGGUUUGUUCAGAAUAUUAUCUCCGACAUGAUAAAUUAAAUUAAAAUAUUGCUAAUCAUGAUCAAUCUCACUCUGUGAUAUUUCCUGGAAACUUGCAAUUAUUAAAAAAUCAUUUAAAAACCCUGUGUUACUUAAGUCACUGUGGAAUAUGAGAUGGUAGAUUAUGAGUACCUUAUUCUUGAUAUCAUUGUUGCUUGGAGAAUUUAUUUCAAAAUCUUCAAAAAAAAUUCUAGCUGCCAUCCUCAGUGUUUUAUAUGCCUGCUAAACCUGAAAAUAUUAAUUAUGAUAAUUAUAAAAGUUAUCUGCCCUGUAUUGAGUUUGCUCAAAACGAGUUAGACCCUUGUUGAGAGAUUUAUCAUGCUCCUAAGAUCAAGACAUUUUUAUUCAGAAAGAUUCACUCUUCCGAAGUAUUAUUGCAUUAGAGGCAUGGGCUAUGCAAAAAUAUGAAUAUUUCGAGGAAAUAAAAAGGAGCAAGUGCUCGACAACCUCGCAGAAAAAAAUGGACAAGUGUCCGGCAGUAGAAUGAGGGGUACCACGGUAUCCACCUGAAAAAAAAGAGAGAAAAAAAAGAGCAAAAAUGAUAGCCCAUGGUCCCUCCAAUAAGCAAUAUGCCAAGAGUUGACAAGUUUUUAAUUUUCAAAGUCUUUGAUCUAAGAGUAUGGCAUUCCUCUCCUCGGAUCCCAUUUUGAUCACGCAAUAAAUGCAAGGUAAGAUUGCUUGAGAAUUUCUGCAAAUUAAAACAGCCUCAGUGAGAAAUAUAUAAAAGAUAAAUGAGCGAUCUGAGAGAACCUAUGAGGAUAAAGGAAUGCUAAAUUUCUUUUCAAAAAAUAUACAAAAGCUCCAAGUAACAGGGUUGAGAAGAAGAAAGGAUCUCUACUUUUGACCAUAUAUUUCCAUGACUAUAGUACAUAGUGGAUUUUUAUAACACCCUGCAGGUAUGAAAAGAAUGCUCUACAAUGUUUUAACCCCAGAUAUUUUUCUAGACCAUCCUUUUCUCGAGGACGAGUAAAAGCCUAAGUAUGGGGGUGUUUGUUGAUGGUUCUUAAGUAUCAAUUUUAAUCAUGAAAUAAAUAAGGAAAAGGACCAAUAUAUAAGCAACACCUAGAAUUAGGGUUUGAUCUCACAGAAUUCCAUGAGUUUUGUUGUUUACCUAUUUCUAUAGGGGGUUAUGAGGAAAUAUGAUAGAAAGUCCCACACGUCAGGAUUACAUAGAUAUAUUAACUUGUGCGCCAAUUUUCCUCGGUCUAGAAGGUUCCAGAAGCCACACGAACGAGCGGGAGGCCGAGCGGGCCCACACGCAGGGCGCCCACCCUCCUCUGCUGGCCAAUCAGCGCGAGACUCGCGGAUUAUGCUCCACCGCCUUUGAGGAUCAAGGAAAACCGUUCAAUCAAGGCCGGUUUAAUCCAACGACCCAGAUUAAUUUGAGAGGGCUAUAUAAGCAAGGCCCCUGGCCCCUGGAGAAAUCAAUCCCCAUUAUUCAUUACCAUAUUUUCUAGAGAGGAUUCACAGAGAGAGGUUCCUUUAGGGUUUCAACCUCAUAGGGCUUAGCAUCCAAUGUGAGAGUAGAAUUAGUCUACUAGAUUGAGAGAGAUAGAGUGGAGGUGU
RNAcentral lists this long non-coding RNA (2029 nucleotides) under Sorghum bicolor (sorghum). RNAcentral's name for it is "long non-coding RNA (SBIC_LNC013884)". Lineage: Eukaryota; Viridiplantae; Streptophyta; Magnoliopsida; Poales; Poaceae. The record is from RNAcentral.